This 72-nucleotide transfer RNA is filed under the name archaeon. Its description in RNAcentral is "tRNA-Tyr". It matches the Rfam family "tRNA". Rfam says of the family: Transfer RNA (tRNA) molecules are approximately 80 nucleotides in length. Their secondary structure includes four short double-helical elements and three loops (D, anti-codon, and T loops). The record is from RNAcentral.
CCCUCCAUAGCUCAAUGGCAGAGCGUUCGGCUGUAGACCGAAAGGUUCCCAGUUCAAAUCUGGGUGGGGGGA